RNAcentral lists this ribosomal RNA (253 nucleotides) under uncultured bacterium. RNAcentral describes it as "partial 16S ribosomal RNA". It matches the Rfam family "Bacterial small subunit ribosomal RNA", at positions 524 to 776 of the family's 1533-position model. The record is from RNAcentral.
UACGGGGGGGGCAAGCGUUGUUCGGAAUUACUGGGCGUAAAGGGCUCGUAGGCGGCCAACUAAGUCGGACGUGAAAUCCCUCGGCUUAACCGGGGAACUGCGUCUGAUACUGGAUGGCUUGAAUCCGGGAGAGGGAUGCGGAAUUCCAGGUGUAGCGGUGAAAUGCGUAGAUAUCGAGAGGAACACCUGCGGCGAAGGCGGGUUGCUGGGCUGACACUGACGCUGAUGCGCGAAAGCCAGGGGAGCGAACGGG